UAUGGCGUUAGGGUUAAAAUCACUGUCCAAAACAUUUGUAGGAACUCUUUUCCAACUGUUACGGCUGUGUGUUUGUUUUGCAUGUGUUUUCCUCUUUUGUCUCUCCAUAGCUGCCCAGGUGAAAUCACUUGAGUGACAAUCAGACUCACCUGGUGCUGGGAGUCUAAAAGCCCAGAGCUGCCUGCAAUCUGGAGAGGCAUUUGGUGGGGAACUGCUGCCCUGCUGCCUCUCAUUUGUGUUGUGGGUGCUUUGUGUUUAGUUUGCAAUUUUGUUGUUUUUUCACAAUAAAUCAGGUGUUAAACUUUUGAAGGUGUUUUGGUUAAUUUGAUGGGUAAAAAGUUGAGGAUUGUUGUUAGCCCCAUAGGGCCGCCUAAGGGUGGGGUGUAACACCAACCUUUUGGAGUUGGUUACACCAACAAAAAUGUAAAAUGAAAAAAAAAUAUUAGGGGUGUUCGGGCUUCCUGAAGGUAAUACCCGGGUAUUAGGUUAUGGGGCUAUGGUAAGGUUUAAGGUUUUUGGCAUUAGGGUUAAAAUCACUGUCCAAAACCUUUGUAGGAACUCUUUUCCAACCUUUUGGAGUUGGUUACACCAACAAAAAUGUAAAAUGAAAAAAAAAAUAUUUGGGGUGUUCGGGCCUUCCUGAAGGUAAUACCCGGGUAUUAGGUUAUGGGGCUAUGGUAAGGUUUAAGCUUAAUGGCAUUAGGUUUAAAAUCACUGUCCAAAACCUUUGUAGGAACUCUUUUCCAACCUUUUGGAGUUACUUAGACCAAAAAAAAAAAAUGAAAAAUGAAAAAAAAAUAUUUGGGGUGUUCAGGCUUCCUAAAAGUAAUACCCGGGUAUUAGGUUAUGGGGCUAUGGUAAGGUUUAAAGUUUUUGGCAUUAGGUUUAAAAUCACUGUCCAAAACCUUUGUAGGAACUCUUUCCCAACCUUUUGGAGUUAGUUAGACCAAAAAAAAAUGAAAAAUGAAAAAAAAAUGUUUGGGGUUUUCGGGCUUCCUGAAUGUAAUACCCGGGUAUUAGAUUUUAAGGCUAGGGUUAGGUUUAAGUUUUUUGGCGUUAGGGUUAAAAUCACUGUCCAAAACCUUUGUAGGAACUCUUUUCCAACCUUUUGGAGUUACUUAGACCAAAAAAAUAUGAAAAAAGAAAAAAAUAUUUGGGGUGUUCAGGCUUCCUCAAAGUAAUACCCGGGUAUUAGGUUAUGGGGCUAUGGUAAGGUUUAAGGUUUAUGGCAUUAGGGUUAAAAUCACUGUCCAAAACCUUUGUAGGAACUCUUUUCGAACCUUUUGGAGUUAGUUAGACCAAAAAAAAAAAGAAAAAUGAAAAAAAAAUAUUUGGGGUGUUCAGGCUUCCUAAAAGUAAUACCCGGGUAUUAGGUUAUGGGGCUAUGGUAAGGUUUAAGGUUUUUGGCAUUAGGGUUAAAAUCACUGUCCAAAACCUUUGUAAGAACUCUUUUCCAACCUUUUGGAGUUGGCUACACCAACAAAAAUGUAAAAUGAAAAAAAAAAUAUAUUGGGUGUUCGGGCUUCCUAAAAGUAAUACCCGGGUAUUAGGUUAUGGGGCUAUGGUAAGGUUUAAGGUUUUUGGCGUUAGGGUUAAAAUCACUGUCCAAAACCUUUGUAGGAACUCUUUUCCAACCUUUUGGAGUUACUUAUACCAAAAAAAUAUGAAAAAAGAAAAAAAUAUAUUUGGGGUGUUCGGGCUUCCUGUGGUAAUACCCGGGUAUUAGAUUUAAAGGCUAGGGUAAGGUUUAAGCUUAAUGGCGUUAGGGUUAAAAUCACUGUCCAAAACCUUUGUAGGAACUCUUUUCCAACCUUUUGGAGUUACUUAGACCAAAAAAAAAAAGAAAAAUGAAAAAAAAAUAUUUGGGGUGUUCAGGCUUCCUAAAAGUAAUACCCGGGUAUUAGGUUAUGGGGCUAUGGUAAGGUUUAAGGUUUUUGGCGUUAGGGUUAAAAUCACUGUCCAAAACCUUUGUAGGAACUCUUUCCCAACCUUUUGGAGUUAGUUAGACCAAAAAAAAAAUGAAAAAUGAAAAAAAAAUGUUUGGGGUUUUUGUGCUUCCUGAAUGUAAUACCCAGGUAUUAGGUUAUGGGGCUAGGGUAAGGUUUAAGUUUUAUGGCGUUAGGGUUAAAAUCACUGUCCAAAACCUUUGUAGGAACUCUUUUCGAACCUUCUGGAGUUAGUUAGACCAAAAAAAAAAAGAAAAAUGAAAAAAAAAUAUUUGGGGUGUUCAGGCUUCCUAAAAGUAAUACCGCGGUAUUAGGUUAUGGGGCUAUGGUAAGGUUUAACGUUUUUGGCGUUAGGGUUAAAAUCACUGUCCAAAACCUUUGUAGGAACUCUUUUCCAACCUUUUGGAGUUACUUAGACCAAAAAAAUAUUAAAAGGAAAAAAAAAUAUUUGGGGUUUUCGGGCGUCCUGUGGUAAUACCCGGGUAUUAGAUUUAAAGGCCAGGGUAAGGUUUAAGCUUAAUGGCGUUAGGGUUAAAAUCACUGUCCAAAACCUUUGUAGGAACUCUUUUCCAACCUUUUGGAGUUACUUAGACCAAAAAAAAAACGAAAAAUGAAAAAAAAUAUUUGGGGUGUUCAGGCUUCCUCAAAGUAAUACCCGGGUAUUAGGUUAUGGGGCUAUGGUAAGGUUUAAGGUUUAUGGCAUUAGGGUUAAAAUCACUGUCCAAAACCUUUGUAGGAACUCUUUCCCAACCUUUUGGAGUUAGUUAGACCAAAAAAAAAAGAAAAAUGAAAAAAAAAUAUUUGGGGUGUUCAGGCUUCCUAAAAGUAAUACCCGGGUAUUAGGUUAUGGGGCUAUGGUAAGGUUUAAGGUUUUUGGCAUUAGGGUUAAAAUCACUGUCCAAAACCUUUGUAAGAACUCUUUUCCAACCUUUUGGAGUUGGCUACACCAACAAAAAUGUAAAAUGAAAAAAAAAAUAUAUGGGGUGUUCGGGCUUCCUAAAAGUAAUACCCGGGUAUUAGGUUAUGGGGCUAUGGUAAGGUUUAAGGUUUUUGGCGUUAGGGUUAAAAUCACUGUCCAAAACCUUUGUAGGAACUCUUUUCCAACCUUUUGGAGUUACUUAGACCAAAAAAAUAUGAAAAAAGAAAAAAAAAUAUUUGGGGUGUUCGGGCUUCCUGUGGUAAUACCCGGGUAUUAGAUUUAAAGGCUAGGGUAAGGUUUAAGCUUAAUGGCGUUAGGGUUAAAAUCACUGUCCAAAACCUUUGUAGGAACUCUUUUCCAACCUUUUGGAGUUACUUAGACCAAAAAAAAAAACGAAAAAUGAAAAAAAAUAUUUGGGGUGUUCAGGCUUCCUAAAAGUAAUACCCGGGUAUUAGGUUAUGGGGCUAUGGUAAGGUUUAAGGUUUAUGGCAUUAGGGUUAAAAUCACUGUCCAAAACCUUUGUAGGAACUCUUUUCCAACCUUUUGGAGUUACUUAGACCAAAAAAAUAUUAAAAAAGGAAAAAAAAAUAUUUGGGGUUUUCGGGCUUCCUGUGGUAAUACCCGGGUAUUAGAUUUAAAGGCCAGGGUAAGGUUUAAGCUUAAUGGCGUUAGGGUUAAAAUCACUGUCCAAAACCUUUGUAGGAACUCUUUUAGAACCUUUUGGAGUUAGUUAGACCAAAAAAAAAACGAAAAAUGAAAAAAAAAUAUUUGGGGUGUUCAGGCUUCCUAAAAGUAAUACCCGGGUAUUAGGUUAUGGGGCUAUGGUAAGGUUUAAGGUUUUUGGCGUUAGGGUUAAAAUCACUGUCCAAAACCUUUGUAAGAACUCUUUUCCAACCUUUUGGAGUUGGUUACAUCAACAAAAAUGUAAAAUGAAAAAAAAUAUAUAUGGGGUGUUCGGGCUUCCUAAAAGUAAUACCCGGGUAUUAGGUUAUGGGGCUAUGGUAAGGUUUAAUGUUUUUGGCAUUAGGGUUAAAAUCACUGUCCAAAACCUUUGUAGGAACUCUUUUCCAACCUUUUGGAGUUGGUUACACCAACAAAAAUGUAAAAUGAAAAAAAAAAUAUUUGGGGUGUUCGGGCUUCCUGAAGGUAAUACCCGGGUAUUAGGUUAUGGGGCUAUGGUAAGGUUUAAGUUUUAUGGCGUUAGGGUUAAAAUCACUGUCCAAAACCUUUGUAGGAACUCUUUUCCAAUUUUUUGGAGCUAGUUAGACCAAAAAAAAAAGAAAAAUGAAAAAAAAAUGUUUGGGGUUUUCGGGCUUCCUGAAUGUAAUACCCGGGUAUUAGAUUUUAAGGCUAGGGUAAGGUUUAAGUUUUAUGGCGUUAGGGUUAAAAUCACUGUCCAAAACCUUUGUAGGAACUCUUUUCCAAUUUUUUGGAGCUAGUUAGACCAAAAAAAAAAGAAAAAUGAAAAAAAAAUAUAUAUGGGGUGUUCGGGCUUCCUAAAAGUAAUACCCGGGUAUUAGAUUUUAAGGCUAGGGUAAGGUUUAAGUUUUAUGGCGUUAGGGUUAAAAUCACUGUCCAAAACAUUUGUAGGAACUCUUUUCCAACUGUUACGGCUGUGUGUUUGUUUUGCAUGUGUUUUCCUCUUUUGUCUCUCCAUAGCUGCCCAGGUGAAAUCACUUGAGUGACAAUCAGACUCACCUGGUGCUGGGAGUCUAAAAGCCCAGAGCUGCCUGCAGUCUGGAGAGGCAUUUGGUGGGGAACUGCUGCCCUGCUGCCUCUCAUUUGUGUUGUGGGUGCUUUGUGUUUAGUUUGCAAUUUUGUUGUUUUUUCACAAUAAAUCAGGUGUUAAACUUUUGAAGGUGUUUUGGUUAAUUUGAUGGGUAAAAAGUUGAGGAUUGUUGUUAGCCCCAUAGGGCCGCCUAAGGGUGGGGUGUAACACCAACCUUUUGGAGUUGGUUACACCAACAAAAAUGUAAAAUGAAAAAAAAAUAUUAGGGGUGUUCGGGCUUCCUGAAGGUAAUACCCGGGUAUUAGGUUAUGGGGCUAUGGUAAGGUUUAAUGUUUUUGGCAUUAGGGUUAAAAUCACUGUCCAAAACCUUUGUAGGAACUCUUUUCCAACCUUUUGGAGUUGGUUACACCAACAAAAAUGUAAAAUGAAAAAAAAAAUAUUUGGGGUGUUCGGGCUUCCUGAAGGUAAUACCCGGGUAUUAGGUUAUGGGGCUAUGGUAAGGUUUAAGCUUAAUGGCAUUAGGUUUAAAAUCACUGUCCAAAACCUUUGUAGGAACUCUUUUCCAACCUUUUGGAGUUAGUUAGACCAAAAAAAAAAAUGAAAAAUGAAAAAAAAAAUAUUUGGGGUGUUCAGGCUUCCUAAAAGUAAUACCCGGGUAUUAGGUUAUGGGGCUAUGGUAAGGUUUAAGGUUUUUGGCAUUAGGUUUAAAAUCACUGUCCAAAACCUUUGUAGGAACUCUUUCCCAACCUUUUGGAGUUAGUUAGACCAAAAAAAAAUGAAAAAUGAAAAAAAAAUGUUUGGGGUUUUCGGGCUUCCUGAAUGUAAUACCCGGGUAUUAGAUUUUAAGGCUAGGGUUAGGUUUAAGUUUUUUGGCGUUAGGGUUAAAAUCACUGUCCAAAACCUUUGUAGGAACUCUUUUCCAACCUUUUGGAGUUACUUAGACCAAAAAAAUAUGAAAAAAGAAAAAAAAUAUUUGGGGUGUUCAGGCUUCCUCAAAGUAAUACCCCAGUAUUAGGUUAUGGGGCUAUGGUAAGGUUUAAGGUUUAUGGCAUUAGGGUUAAAAUCACUGUCCAAAACCUUUGUAGGAACUCUUUUCGAACCUUUUGGAGUUAGUUAGACCAAAAAAAAAAAAGAAAAAUGAAAAAAAAAUAUUUGGGGUGUUCAGGCUUCCUAAAAGUAAUACCCGGGUAUUAGGUUAUGGGGCUAUGGUAAGGUUUAAGGUUUUUGGCAUUAGGGUUAAAAUCACUGUCCAAAACCUUUGUAAGAACUCUUUUCCAACCUUUUGGAGUUGGCUACACCAACAAAAAUGUAAAAUGAAAAAAAAUAUAUAUUGGGUGUUCGGGCUUCCUAAAAGUAAUACCCGGGUAUUAGGUUAUGGGGCUAUGGUAAGGUUUAAGGUUUUUGGCGUUAGGGUUAAAAUCACUGUCCAAAACCUUUGUAGGAACUCUUUUCCAACCUUUUGGAGUUACUUAUACCAAAAAAAUAUGAAAAAAGAAAAAAAUAUAUUUGGGGUGUUCGGGCUUCCUGUGGUAAUACCCGGGUAUUAGAUUUAAAGGCUAGGGUAAGGUUUAAGUUUUUUGGCGUUAGGGUUAAAAUCACUGUCCAAAACCUUUGUAGGAACUCUUUUCCAACCUUUUGGAGUUACUUAGACCAAAAAAAAAAAAGAAAAAUGAAAAAAAAAUAUUUGGGGUGUUCAGGCUUCCUAAAAGUAAUACCCGGGUAUUAGGUUAUGGGGCUAUGGUAAGGUUUAAGGUUUUUGGCGUUAGGGUUAAAAUCACUGUCCAAAACCUUUGUAGGAACUCUUUCCCAACCUUUUGGAGUUAGUUAGACCAAAAAAAAAAUGAAAAAUGAAAAAAAAAUGUUUGGGGUUUUUGUGCUUCCUGAAUGUAAUACCCAGGUAUUAGGUUAUGGGGCUAGGGUAAGGUUUAAGUUUUAUGGCGUUAGGGUUAAAAUCACUGUCCAAAACCUUUGUAGGAACUCUUUUCGAACCUUCUGGAGUUAGUUAGACCAAAAAAAAAAAGAAAAAUGAAAAAAAAAUAUUUGGGGUGUUCAGGCUUCCUAAAAGUAAUACCCCGGUAUUAGGUUAUGGGGCUAUGGUAAGGUUUAACGUUUUUGGCGUUAGGGUUAAAAUCACUGUCCAAAACCUUUGUAGGAACUCUUUUCCAACCUUUUGGAGUUACUUAGACCAAAAAAAUAUUAAAAAAGGAAAAAAAAAUAUUUGGGGUUUUCGGGCUUCCUGUGGUAAUACCCGGGUAUUAGAUUUAAAGGCCAGGGUAAGGUUUAAGCUUAAUGGCGUUAGGGUUAAAAUCACUGUCCAAAACCUUUGUAGGAACUCUUUUCCAACCUUUUGGAGUUACUUAGACCAAAAAAAAAACGAAAAAUGAAAAAAAAUAUUUGGGGUGUUCAGGCUUCCUCAAAGUAAUACCCGGGUAUUAGGUUAUGGGGCUAUGGUAAGGUUUAAGGUUUAUGGCAUUAGGGUUAAAAUCACUGUCCAAAACCUUUGUAGGAACUCUUUCCCAACCUUUUGGAGUUAGUUAGACCAAAAAAAAAAGAAAAAUGAAAAAAAAAUAUUUGGGGUGUUCAGGCUUCCUAAAAGUAAUACCCGGGUAUUAGGUUAUGGGGCUAUGGUAAGGUUUAAGGUUUUUGGCAUUAGGGUUAAAAUCACUGUCCAAAACCUUUGUAAGAACUCUUUUCCAACCUUUUGGAGUUACUUAGACCAAAAAAAUGUAAAAUGAAAAAAAAAAUAUAUGGGGUGUUCGGGCUUCCUAAAAGUAAUACCCGGGUAUUAGGUUAUGGGGCUAUGGUAAGGUUUAAGGUUUUUGGCGUUAGGGUUAAAAUCACUGUCCAAAACCUUUGUAGGAACUCUUUUCCAACCUUUUGGAGUUACUUAGACCAAAAAAAUAUGAAAAAAGAAAAAAAAAUAUUUGGGGUGUUCGGGCUUCCUGUGGUAAUACCCGGGUAUUAGAUUUAAAGGCUAGGGUAAGGUUUAAGCUUAAUGGCGUUAGGGUUAAAAUCACUGUCCAAAACCUUUGUAGGAACUCUUUUCCAACCUUUUGGAGUUACUUAGACCAAAAAAAAAAAACGAAAAAUGAAAAAAAAAUAUUUGGGGUGUUCAGGCUUCCUAAAAGUAAUACCCGGGUAUUAGGUUAUGGGGCUAUGGUAAGGUUUAAGGUUUUUGGCAUUAGGGUUAAAAUCACUGUCCAAAACCUUUGUAAGAACUCUUUUCCAACCUUUUGGAGUUGGCUACACCAACAAAAAUGUAAAAUGAAAAAAAAAAUAUAUGGGGUGUUCGGGCUUCCUAAAAGUAAUACCCGGGUAUUAGGUUAUGGGGCUAUGGUAAGGUUUAAGGUUUUUGGCGUUAGGGUUAAAAUCACUGUCCAAAACCUUUGUAGGAACUCUUUUCCAACCUUUUGGAGUUACUUAGACCAAAAAAAUAUGAAAAAAGAAAAAAAAAUAUUUGGGGUGUUCGGGCUUCCUGUGGUAAUACCCGGGUAUUAGAUUUAAAGGCUAGGGUAAGGUUUAAGCUUAAUGGCGUUAGGGUUAAAAUCACUGUCCAAAACCUUUGUAGGAACUCUUUUCCAACCUUUUGGAGUUAGUUAGACCAAAAAAAAAAACGAAAAAUGAAAAAAAAAUAUUUGGGGUGUUCAGGCUUCCUAAAAGUAAUACCCGGGUAUUAGGUUAUGGGGCUAUGGUAAGGUUUAAGGUUUAUGGCAUUAGGGUUAAAAUCACUGUCCAAAACCUUUGUAGGAACUCUUUCCCAACCUUUUGGAGUUAGUUAGACCAAAAAAAAAUGAAAAAUGAAAAAAAAAUAUUUGGGGUUUUUGUGCUUCCUGAAUGUAAUACCCAGGUAUUAGGUUAUGGGGCUAGGGUAAGGUUUAAGUUUUAUGGCGUUAGGGUUAAAAUCACUGUCCAAAACCUUUGUAGGAACUCUUUUCGAACCUUUUGGAGUUAGUUAGACCAAAAAAAAAAAAGAAAAAUGAAAAAAAAAAUAUUUGGGGUGUUCAGGCUUCCUAAAAGUAAUACCCCGGUAUUAGGUUAUGGGGCUAUGGUAAGGUUUAAGGUUUUUGGCGUUAGGGUUAAAAUCACUGUCCAAAACCUUUGUAGGAACUCUUUUCCAACCUUUUGGAGUUACUUAGACCAAAAAAAUAUUAAAAAAGGAAAAAAAAUAUUUGGGGUUUUCGGGCUUCCUGUGGUAAUACCCGGGUAUUAGAUUUAAAGGCCAGGGUAAGGUUUAAGCUUAAUGGCGUUAGGGUUAAAAUCACUGUCCAAAACCUUUGUAGGAACUCUUUUAGAACCUUUUGGAGUUAGUUAGACCAAAAAAAAAACGAAAAAUGAAAAAAAAAUAUUUGGGGUGUUCAGGCUUCCUAAAAGUAAUACCCGGGUAUUAGGUUAUGGGGCUAUGGUAAGGUUUAAGGUUUUUGGCGUUAGGGUUAAAAUCACUGUCCAAAACCUUUGUAGGAACUCUUUUCCAACCUUUUGGAGUUGGUUACACCAACAAAAAUGUAAAAUGAAAAAAAAUAUAUAUGGGGUGUUCGGGCUUCCUAAAAGUAAUACCCGGGUAUUAGGUUAUGGGGCUAUGGUAAGGUUUAAAGUUUUUGGCAUUAGGUUUAAAAUCACUGUCCAAAACCUUUGUAGGAACUCUUUUCCAACCUUUUGGAGUUAGUUAGACCAAAAAAAAAUGAAAAAUGAAAAAAAAAUGUUUGGGGUUUUCGGGCUUCCUGAAUGUAAUACCCGGGUAUUAGAUUUUAAGGCUAGGGUAAGGUUUAAGUUUUAUGGCGUUAGGGUUAAAAUCACUGUCCAAAACCUUUGUAGGAACUCUUUUCCAACCUUUUGGAGUUAGUUAGACCAAAAAAAAAAAGAAAAAUGAAAAAAAUAUAUAUAUGGGGUGUUCGGGCUUCCUAAAAGUAAUACCCGGGUAUUAGAUUUUAAGGCUAGGGUAAGGUUUAAGUUUUAUGGCGUUAGGGUUAAAAUCACUGUCCAAAACAUUUGUAGGAACUCUUUUCCAACUGUUACGGCUGUGUGUUUGUUUGCAUGUGUUUUCCUCUUUUGUCUCUCCAUAGCUGCCCAGGUGAAAUCACUUGAGUGACAAUCAGACUCACCUGGUGCUGGGAGUCUAAAAGCCCAGAGCUGCCUGCAGUCUGGAGAGGCAUUUGGUGGGGAACUGCUGCCCUGCUGCCUCUCAUUUGUGUUGUGGGUGCUUUGUGUUUAGUUUGCAAUUUUGUUGUUUUUUCACAAUAAAUCACGUGUUAAACUUUUGAAGGUGUUUUGGUUAAUUUGAUGGGUAAAAAGUUGAGGAUUGUUGUUAGCCCCAUAGGGCCGCCUAAGGGUGGGGUGUAACACCAACCUUUUGGAGUUGGUUACACCAACAAAAAUGUAAAAUGAAAAAAAAAAUAUUAGGGGUGUUCGGGCUUCCUGAAGGUAAUACCCGGGUAUUAGGUUAUGGGGCUAUGGUAAGGUUUAAUGUUUUUGGCAUUAGGGUUAAAAUCACUGUCCAAAACCUUUGUAGGAACUCUUUUCCAACCUUUUGGAGUUGGUUACACCAACAAAAAUGUAAAAUGAAAAAAAAAAUAUUUGGGGUGUUCGGGCUUCCUGAAGGUAACACCCGGGUAUUAGGUUAUGGGGCUAUGGUAAGGUUUAAGCUUAAUGGCAUUAGGUUUAAAAUCACUGUCCAAAACCUUUGUAGGAACUCUUUUCCAACCUUUUGGAGUUAGUUAGACCAAAAAAAAAAAAUGAAAAAUGAAAAAAAAAUAUUUGGGGUGUUCAGGCUUCCUAAAAGUAAUACCCGGGUAUUAGGUUAUGGGGCUAUGGUAAGGUUUAAAGUUUUUGGCAUUAGGUUUAAAAUCACUGUCCAAAACCUUUGUAGGAACUCUUUCCCAACCUUUUGGAGUUAGUUAGACCAAAAAAAAAUGAAAAAUGAAAAAAAAAUGUUUGGGGUUUUCGGGCUUCCUGAAUGUAAUACCCGGGUAUUAGAUUUUAAGGCUAGGGUUAGGUUUAAGUUUUUUGGCGUUAGGGUUAAAAUCACUGUCCAAAACCUUUGUAGGAACUCUUUUCCAACCUUUUGGAGUUACUUAGACCAAAAAAAUAUGAAAAAAGAAAAAAAAUAUUUGGGGUGUUCAGGCUUCCUCAAAGUAAUACCCGGGUAUUAGGUUAUGGGGCUAUGGUAAGGUUUAAGGUUUAUGGCAUUAGGGUUAAAAUCACUGUCCAAAACCUUUGUAGGAACUCUUUUCGAACCUUUUGGAGUUAGUUAGACCAAAAAAAAAAAGAAAAAUGAAAAAAAAAUAUUUGGGGUGUUCAGGCUUCCUAAAAGUAAUACCCGGGUAUUAGGUUAUGGGGCUAUGGUAAGGUUUAAGGUUUUUGGCAUUAGGGUUAAAAUCACUGUCCAAAACCUUUGUAGGAACUCUUUUCCAACCUUUUGGAGUUGGCUACACCAACAAAAAUGUAAAAUGAAAAAAAAUAUAUAUUGGGUGUUCGGGCUUCCUAAAAGUAAUACUAAUAUUAGGUUAUGGGGCUAUGGUAAGGUUUAAGGUUUUCGGCGUUAGGGUUAAAAUCACUGUCCAAAACCUUUGUAGGAACUCUUUUCCAACCUUUUGGAGUUACUUAUACCAAAAAAAUAUGAAAAAAGAAAUAAAUAUAUUUGGGGUGUUCGGGCUUCCUGUGGUAAUACCCGGGUAUUAGAUUUAAAGGCUAGGGUAAGGUUUAAGCUUAAUGGCGUUAGGGUUAAAAUCACUGUCCAAAACCUUUGUAGGAACUCUUUUCCAACCUUUUGGAGUUACUUAGACCAAAAAAAAAAAAGAAAAAUGAAAAAAAAAUAUUUGGGGUGUUCAGGCUUCCUAAAAGUAAUACCCGGGUAUUAGGUUAUGGGGCUAUGGUAAGGUUUAAGGUUUUUGGCGUUAGGGUUAAAAUCACUGUCCAAAACCUUUGUAGGAACUCUUUCCCAACCUUUUGGAGUUAGUUAGACCAAAAAAAAAAUGAAAAAUGAAAAAAAAAUGUUUGGGGUUUUUGUGCUUCCUGAAUGUAAUACCCAGGUAUUAGGUUAUGGGGCUAGGGUAAGGUUUAAGUUUUAUGGCGUUAGGGUUAAAAUCACUGUCCAAAACCUUUGUAGGAACUCUUUUCGAACCUUCUGGAGUUAGUUAGACCAAAAAAAAAAAGAAAAAUGAAAAAAAAAUAUUUGGGGUGUUCAGGCUUCCUAAAAGUAAUACCCCGGUAUUAGGUUAUGGGGCUAUGGUAAGGUUUAACGUUUUUGGCGUUAGGGUUAAAAUCACUGUCCAAAACCUUUGUAGGAACUCUUUUCCAACCUUUUGGAGUUAGUUAGACCAAAAAAUAUUAAAAGGAAAAAAAAAUAUUUGGGGUUUUCGGGCGUCCUGUGGUAAUACCCGGGUAUUAGAUUUAAAGGCCAGGGUAAGGUUUAAGCUUAAUGGCGUUAGGGUUAAAAUCACUGUCCAAAACCUUUGUAGGAACUCUUUUCCAACCUUUUGGAGUUACUUAGACCAAAAAAAAAACGAAAAAUGAAAAAAAAUAUUUGGGGUGUUCAGGCUUCCUCAGAGUAAUACCCGGGUAUUAGGUUAUGGGGCUAUGGUAAGGUUUAAGGUUUUUGGCAUCAGGGUUAAAAUCACUGUCCAAAACCUUUGUAAGAACUCUUUCCCAACCUUUUGGAGUUGGCUACACCAACAAAAAUGUAAAAUGAAAAAAAAAAUAUAUGGGGUGUUCGGGCUUCCUAAAAGUAAUACCCGGGUAUUAGGUUAUGGGGCUAUGGUAAGGUUUAAGGUUUUUGGCGUUAGGGUUAAAAUCACUGUCCAAAACCUUUGUAGGAACUCUUUUCCAACCUUUUGGAGUUACUUAGACCAAAAAAAUAUGAAAAAAGAAAAAAAAAUAUUUGGGGUGUUCGGGCUUCCUGUGGUAAUACCCGGGUAUUAGAUUUAAAGGCUAGGGUAAGGUUUAAGCUUAAUGGCGUUAGGGUUAAAAUCACUGUCCAAAACCUUUGUAGGAACUCUUUUCCAACCUUUUGGAGUUACUUAGACCAAAAAAAAAACGAAAAAUGAAAAAAAAAUAUUUGGGGUGUUCAGGCUUCCUAAAAGUAAUACCCGGGUAUUAGGUUAUGGGGCUAUGGUAAGGUUUAAGGUUUAUGGCAUUAGGGUUAAAAUCACUGUCCAAAACCUUUGUAGGAACUCUUUUCCAACCUUUUGGAGUUAGUUAGACCAAAAAAAAAUGAAAAAUGAAAAAAAAAUGUUUGGGGUUUUUGUGCUUCCUGAAUGUAAUACCCAGGUAUUAGGUUAUGGGGCUAGGGUAAGGUUUAAGUUUUAUGGCGUUAGGGUUAAAAUCACUGUCCAAAACCUUUGUAGGAACUCUUUUCCAACCUUUUGGAGUUAGUUAGACCAAAAAAAAAAAGAAAAAUGAAAAAAAAAUAUUUGGGGUGUUCAGGCUUCCUAAAAGUAAUACCCCGGUAUUAGGUUAUGGGGCUAUGGUAAGGUUUAAGGUUUUUGGCGUUAGGGUUAAAAUCACUGUCCAAAACCUUUGUAGGAACUCUUUUCCAACCUUUUGGAGUUACUUAGACCAAAAAAAUAUUAAAAAAGGAAAAAAAAAUAUUUGGGGUUUUCGGGCUUCCUGUGGUAAUACCCGGGUAUUAGAUUUAAAGGCCAGGGUAAGGUUUAAGCUUAAUGGCGUUAGGGUUAAAAUCACUGUCCAAAACCUUUGUAGGAACUCUUUUAGAACCUUUUGGAGUUAGUUAGACCAAAAAAAAAACGAAAAAUGAAAAAAAAAUAUUUGGGGUGUUCAGGCUUCCUAAAAGUAAUACCCGGGUAUUAGGUUAUGGGGCUAUGGUAAGGUUUAAGGUUUUUGGCGUUAGGGUUAAAAUCACUGUCCAAAACCUUUGUAGGAACUCUUUUCCAACCUUUUGGAGUUGGUUACACCAACAAAAAUGUAAAAUGAAAAAAAAAUAUAUUGGGGUGUUCGGGCUUCCUAAAAGUAAUACCCGGGUAUUAGGUUAUGGGGCUAUGGUAAGGUUUAAUGUUUUUGGCAUUAGGGUUAAAAUCACUGUCCAAAACCUUUGUAGGAACUCUUUUCCAACCUUUUGGAGUUGGUUACACCAACAAAAAUGUAAAAUGAAAAAAAAAAUAUUUGGGGUGUUCGGGCUUCCUGAAGGUAAUACCCGGGUAUUAGGUUAUGGGGCUAUGGUAAGGUUUAAGUUUUAUGGCGUUAGGGUUAAAAUCACUGUCCAAAACCUUUGUAGGAACUCUUUUCCAACCUUUUGGAGUUAGUUAGACCAAAAAAAAAAGAAAAAUGAAAAAAAAAUGUUUGGGGUUUUCGGGCUUCCUGAAUGUAAUACCCGGGUAUUAGAUUUUAAGGCUAGGGUAAGGUUUAAGUUUUAUGGCGUUAGGGUUAAAAUCACUGUCCAAAACCUUUGUAGGAACUCUUUUCCAAUUUUUUGGAGCUAGUUAGACCAAAAAAAAAAAGAAAAAUGAAAAAAAAAUAUAUAUGGGGUGUUCGGGCUUCCUAAAAGUAAUACCCGGGUAUUAGAUUUUAAGGCUAGGGUAAGGUUUAAGUUUUAUGGCGUUAGGGUUAAAAUCACUGUCCAAAACAUUUGUAGGAACUCUUUUCCAACUGUUACGGCUGUGUGUUUGUUUUGCAUGUGUUUUCCUCUUUUGUCUCUCCAUAGCUGCCCAGGUGAAAUCACUUGAGUGACAAUCAGACUCACCUGGUGCUGGGAGUCUAAAAGCCCAGAGCUGCCUGCAGUCUGGAGAGGCAUUUGGUGGGGAACUGCUGCCCUGCUGCCUCUCAUUUGUGUUGUGGGUGCUUUGUGUUUAGUUUGCAAUUUUGUUGUUUUUUCACAAUAAAUCACGUGUUAAACUUUUGAAGGUGUUUUGGUUAAUUUGAUGGGUAAAAAGUUGAGGAUUGUUGUUAGCCCCAUAGGGCCGCCUAAGGGUGGGGUGUAACACCAACCUUUUGGAGUUGGUUACACCAACAAAAAUGUAAAAUGAAAAAAAAAUAUUAGGGGUGUUCGGGCUUCCUGAAGGUAAUACCCGGGUAUUAGGUUAUGGGGCUAUGGUAAGGUUUAAUGUUUUUGGCAUUAGGGUUAAAAUCACUGUCCAAAACCUUUGUAGGAACUCUUUUCCAACCUUUUGGAGUUGGUUACACCAACAAAAAUGUAAAAUGAAAAAAAAAAUAUUUGGGGUGUUCGGGCUUCCUGAAGGUAAUACCCGGGUAUUAGGUUAUGGGGCUAUGGUAAGGUUUAAGCUUAAUGGCAUUAGGUUUAAAAUCACUGUCCAAAACCUUUGUAGGAACUCUUUUCCAACCUUUUGGAGUUAGUUAGACCAAAAAAAAAAAAAUGAAAAAUGAAAAAAAAAUAUUUGGGGUGUUCAGGCUUCCUAAAAGUAAUACCCGGGUAUUAGGUUAUGGGGCUAUGGUAAGGUUUAAAGUUUUUGGCAUUAGGUUUAAAAUCACUGUCCAAAACCUUUGUAGGAACUCUUUCCCAACCUUUUGGAGUUAGUUAGACCAAAAAAAAAUGAAAAAUGAAAAAAAAAUGUUUGGGGUUUUCGGGCUUCCUGAAUGUAAUACCCGGGUAUUAGAUUUUAAGGCUAGGGUUAGGUUUAAGUUUUUUGGCGUUAGGGUUAAAAUCACUGUCCAAAACCUUUGUAGGAACUCUUUUCCAACCUUUUGGAGUUACUUAGACCAAAAAAAUAUGAAAAAAGAAAAAAAAAUAUUUGGGGUGUUCAGGCUUCCUCAAAGUAAUACCCGGGUAUUAGGUUAUGGGGCUAUGGUAAGGUUUAAGGUUUAUGGCAUUAGGGUUAAAAUCACUGUCCAAAACCUUUGUAGGAACUCUUUUCGAACCUUUUGGAGUUAGUUAGACCAAAAAAAAAAGAAAAAUGAAAAAAAAAUAUUUGGGGUGUUCAGGCUUCCUAAAAGUAAUACCCGGGUAUUAGGUUAUGGGGCUAUGGUAAGGUUUAAGGUUUUUGGCAUUAGGGUUAAAAUCACUGUCCAAAACCUUUGUAAGAACUCUUUUCCAACCUUUUGGAGUUGGCUACACCAACAAAAAUGUAAAAUGAAAAAAAAUAUAUAUUGGGUGUUCGGGCUUCCUAAAAGUAAUACCCGGGUAUUAGGUUAUGGGGCUAUGGUAAGGUUUAAGGUUUUUGGCGUUAGGGUUAAAAUCACUGUCCAAAACCUUUGUAGGAACUCUUUUCCAACCUUUUGGAGUUACUUAUACCAAAAAAAUAUGAAAAAAGAAAAAAAUAUAUUUGGGGUGUUCGGGCUUCCUGUGGUAAUACCCGGGUAUUAGUUUAAUAGGCUAGGGUAAGGUUUAAGCUUAAUGGCGUUAGGGUUAAAAUCACUGUCCAAAACCUUUGUAGGAACUCUUUUCCAACCUUUUGGAGUUACUUAGACCAAAAAAAAAAAGAAAAAUGAAAAAAAAAUAUUUGGGGUGUUCAGGCUUCCUAAAAGUAAUACCCGGGUAUUAGGUUAUGGGGCUAUGGUAAGGUUUAAGGUUUUUGGCGUUAGGGUUAAAAUCACUGUCCAAAACCUUUGUAGGAACUUUUUCCCAACCUUUUGGAGUUAGUUAGACCAAAAAAAAAAGGAAAAAUGAAAAAAAAAUGUUUGGGGUUUUUGUGCUUCCUGAAUGUAAUACCCAGGUAUUAGGUUAUGGGGCUAGGGUAAGGUUUAAGUUUUAUGGCGUUAGGGUUAAAAUCACUGUCCAAAACCUUUGUAGGAACUCUUUUCGAACCUUCUGGAGUUAGUUAGACCAAAAAAAAAAAGAAAAAUGAAAAAAAAAUAUUUGGGGUGUUCAGGCUUCCUAAAAGUAAUACCCCGGUAUUAGGUUAUGGGGCUAUGGUAAGGUUUAAGGUUUUUGGCGUUAGGGUUAAAAUCACUGUCCAAAACCUUUGUAGGAACUCUUUUCCAACCUUUUGGAGUUACUUAGACCAAAAAAAUAUUAAAAAAGGAAAAAAAAAUAUUUGGGGUUUUCGGGCUUCCUGUGGUAAUACCCGGGUAUUAGAUUUAAAGGCCAGGGUAAGGUUUAAGCUUAAUGGCGUUAGGGUUAAAAUCACUGUCCAAAACCUUUGUAGGAACUCUUUUCCAACCUUUUGGAGUUACUUAGACCAAAAAAAAACGAAAAAUGAAAAAAAAUAUUUGGGGUGUUCAGGCUUCCUCAAAGUAAUACCCGGGUAUUAGGUUAUGGGGCUAUGGUAAGGUUUAAGGUUUAUGGCAUUAGGGUUAAAAUCACUGUCCAAAACCUUUGUAGGAACUCUUUUCCAACCUUUUGGAGUUAGUUAGACCAAAAAAAAAAGAAAAAUGAAAAAAAAAUAUUUGGGGUGUUCAGGCUUCCUAAAAGUAAUACCCGGGUAUUAGGUUAUGGGGCUAUGGUAAGGUUUAAGGUUUUUGGCAUUAGGGUUAAAAUCACUGUCCAAAACCUUUGUAGGAACUCUUUUCCAACCUUUUGGAGUUGGCUACACCAACAAAAAUGUAAAAUGAAAAAAAAAAUAUAUGGGGUGUUCGGGCUUCCUAAAAGUAAUACCCGGGUAUUAGGUUAUGGGGCUAUGGUAAGGUUUAAGGUUUUUGGCGUUAGGGUUAAAAUCACUGUCCAAAACCUUUGUAGGAACUCUUUCCAACCUUUUGGAGUUACUUAGACCAAAAAAAUAUGAAAAAAGAAAAAAAAUAUUUGGGGUGUUCGGGCUUCCUGUGGUAAUACCCGGGUAUUAGAUUUA
Molecule: long non-coding RNA, 17283 nt
Filed under: Xyrichtys novacula (pearly razorfish)
Lineage: Eukaryota; Metazoa; Chordata; Actinopteri; Labriformes; Labridae
Source: RNAcentral